Molecule: long non-coding RNA, 1154 nt
Filed under: Pogona vitticeps (central bearded dragon)
Lineage: Eukaryota; Metazoa; Chordata; Lepidosauria; Squamata; Agamidae
Description: lncRNA (ENSPVIG00000012440.1)
Source: RNAcentral
ACCCUACCUUUCCUUUUCAAGUGACAAUAAGUAAGAAGAAGGGCUAAUUAUAUAAGAGCUAUAGAAACAGUAAUCAUGAGUGUUCAGGAAGAAAAACAAAGUUAAUAUUCAAUUAGAUGAUAAAUAAUUGCUACAUUUCUGGUGUAUUUCUCCUCAUGGAGAAUUUACACUUUGAAAUAUAUUAAUAUGUAGUCAAAAGGAAAGUGGUAGAGAGAGAAACAAGAGGUUAAAUUUACUAAUCAGCAGUAGUUAGUCUGAAGCUAUAUACUUGACUGUCAAUCGCACAACUUCUCUGCCUUUUCCUGCCCUAAGCAACCAGCCAAUCAGGAGCUGUGUGCUGUCUGACAGUUCUGAAAGCAUGAUCUGCUACCAGGGUAACUAUAGAAACAAACUGCACUGGAGCAAGGAGGAGAGAGGAAGGGAGGAGAAAAGGGAGAGUGAAAAUUGAAGGAGAGCACAUUGAUUUUCUAAGUUUGUUCUGUCAUCCAGCCUACCACAAUGGCAUCCAUCGAGCAGAAGGCAGGGUUACCAAGCCAUAACACCACACAUGAGCAGAUACUCAAGGAAGAAGAGUGGGAAUUAAGGAAGAUAGUAUUCAUCCAGCUUUGGAAAAGGUGUGCCAUAAACUGGAGGACAUUUUUGGGUCCUUGCCUUUGAUUGAAGUAUGGUGAGUUUGAAGGCUACUGGCUGCCACAGAGAUGUUAGAGAAAGUUCAGGAUUUUGUUAAACUGCUCAAAAGGUAAAUAGAUUUUAAAAUUCUGUAUUCAAACUGUGCACUAUAGUGGCUAAUAGCUGCUUUUCUUUCUAGAAAUACAAAGCCUCAGGUGCAGCAAAGGUUUUGACACCCAGCUGAAAAUGGAGAUAGAAGGGAAAACCUCAGCUUGAUGAUAAACACAAAAAUCUUCCAGUCCAAUGGCCUGAUUUAAGUCAGCUUCUGUGUUGGGUUUGAAAACCACAUGAGAGCUUGUCUGUAGCAUGCAGAUAAGAACCAUUUAUCUGGAAUGAAUGGCAAAUGAUUAUCAGCAAAUUUAUGAUUGCUGCUGUUGCUUAUUACUCAUUGUUUACUUAUGGACUUAAAUCAUGACAUAUUACCCCCCCCCCAGAAAGACAAUAUGAAAAAUAAACAUUACCUCCUCAUUUUAAAAAUGAGGACA